GUGAGGAAUAUUGCGCAAUGGAGGCAACUCUGACGCAGCCAUGCCGCGUGCAGGAAGAAGGCGCUACGCGUUGUAAACUGCUUUUAACCGGGAAGAAACCCCAGGACGUGUCCUGGGUUGACGGUACCGGAGGAAUAAGCACCGGCUAACUUCGUGCCAGCAGCCGCGGUAAUACGAAGGGUGCAAGCGUUAUCCGGAUUCAUUGGGUUUAAAGGGUGCGUAGGCGGAGCGUUAAGUCAGUGGUGAAAUCCUGCAGCUUAACUGUAGACUUGCCAUUGAUACUGGCGCUCUUGAGUGCGCUUGAAGUGGGCGGAAUGUGCCGUGUAGCGGUGAAAUGCUUAGAUAUGGCACAGAACACCAAUUGCGAAGGCAGCUCACUAAGGCGAUACUGACGCUGAGGCACGAAAGCGUGGGGAUCGAACAGGAUUAGAAACCCGGGUUAGUCC
This 446-nucleotide ribosomal RNA is filed under the name uncultured bacterium. RNAcentral's name for it is "partial 16S ribosomal RNA". It matches the Rfam family "Bacterial small subunit ribosomal RNA", at positions 354 to 796 of the family's 1533-position model. The record is from RNAcentral.